RNAcentral lists this ribosomal RNA (164 nucleotides) under Pseudolmedia spuria. RNAcentral's name for it is "5.8S ribosomal RNA". It matches the Rfam family "5.8S ribosomal RNA". Rfam says of the family: 5.8S ribosomal RNA (5.8S rRNA) is a component of the large subunit of the eukaryotic ribosome. It is transcribed by RNA polymerase I as part of the 45S precursor that also contains 18S and 28S rRNA. Functionally, it is thought that 5.8S rRNA may be involved in ribosome translocation. RNAcentral also lists the same sequence under 1 other name. Lineage: Eukaryota; Viridiplantae; Streptophyta; Magnoliopsida; Rosales; Moraceae. The record is from RNAcentral.
AAAACGACUCUCGGCAACGGAUAUCUCGGCUCUCGCAUCGAUGAAGAACGUAGCGAAAUGCGAUACUUGGUGUGAAUUGCAGAAUCCCGUGAACCAUCGAGUCUUUGAACGCAAGUUGCGCCCGAAGCCAUCCGGUCGAGGGCACGUCUGCCUGGGCGUCAAAC